This 513-nucleotide ribosomal RNA is filed under the name uncultured Pseudomonadota bacterium. Its description in RNAcentral is "bacterial SSU rRNA". It matches the Rfam family "Bacterial small subunit ribosomal RNA", at positions 355 to 857 of the family's 1533-position model. Lineage: Bacteria; Pseudomonadati; Pseudomonadota. The record is from RNAcentral.
UGGGGAAUCUUGCGCAAUGGGGGAAACCCUGACGCAGCAACGCCGCGUGGGUGAUGAAGGCCUUCGGGUCGUAAAGCCCUGUCAGGUGGGAAGAAUCAUAUCGAUUCGAAUAGGGUCGAUAUCUGACGGUACCACCGGAGGAAGCACCGGCUAACUCCGUGCCAGCAGCCGCGGUAAUACGGAGGGUGCAAGCGUUGUUCGGAAUUACUGGGCGUAAAGCGCGUGUAGGCGGUCGAGUAAGUCAGAUGUGAAAGCCUUCCGCUUAACGGAAGAAGUGCAUUUGAAACUACUCGGCUGGAGUACGGGAGAGGAGAGUGGAAUUCCCGGUGUAGAGGUGAAAUUCGUAGAUAUCGGGAGGAACACCAGUGGCGAAAGCGGCUCUCUGGUCCGAUACUGACGCUGAUACGCGAAAGCGUGGGGGAGCAAACAGGAUUAGAUACCCUGGUAGUCCACGCCGUAAACGAUGGACACUAGGUGUGGGAGGUAUUGACCCCUUCCGUGCCGAAGCUAACG